AUACGGAGGGUGCAAGCGUUGUCCGGAUUUAUUGGGUUUAAAGGGUGCGUAGGUGGUUUUUUAAGUCAGUGGUGAAAGCCUACAGCUUAACUGUAGAGGUGCCAUUGAAACUGGGAAACUUGAGUAUGUACGAGGUAGGCGGAAUUUGUGGUGUAGCGGUGAAAUGCAUAGAUACCACAAAGAACACCGAUAGCGAAGGCAGCUUACUAGGCCAUAACUGACACUGAGGCACGAAAGUGUGGGGAGCGAACAGGAUUAGAAACCCUAGUAGUCC
This 274-nucleotide ribosomal RNA is filed under the name uncultured bacterium. RNAcentral's name for it is "partial 16S ribosomal RNA". It matches the Rfam family "Bacterial small subunit ribosomal RNA", at positions 523 to 796 of the family's 1533-position model. The record is from RNAcentral.